Spea bombifrons (plains spadefoot toad) is the source of this 64-nucleotide small nucleolar RNA. RefSeq annotates it as small nucleolar RNA SNORD42. The transcript has a single exon. NCBI's taxonomy places the organism in Eukaryota, Metazoa, Chordata, Amphibia, Anura, Pelobatidae. The record is from RefSeq and is a predicted model, not a curated record.
GUGCAAAUGAUGGAAAUUAUUUUGUCUGACUACAUUGAUGAGUUCAAAGGAACCACUGAUGCAC